Molecule: long non-coding RNA, 253 nt
Filed under: Ananas comosus (pineapple)
Lineage: Eukaryota; Viridiplantae; Streptophyta; Magnoliopsida; Poales; Bromeliaceae
Description: long non-coding RNA (ACOM_LNC001612)
Source: RNAcentral
UGAUGUUAUAUUUGAAUUUGUAUUUUAAAAAUUUAGAUUUAAUAUAAUAUAUUUUGAAAUAUUGAAAAAAAAAUAAUUGUUUCGGGUUCAAAUUUUCGGGUUCGGGUUUCGAAUUUUUGGUCGGGUUCGGGUUUGGAUAUGGAUUUUUAAAAUUCGUCGGGUUCGGGUUCGGAUUCGGGUCUCGGGUUUGGAGUCGGGUUCGGGUUCGGAUUUUUAAAAAUCCGCCCCGAAUCCGACCCGUUGACAUCUCUAA